CACGUAGGGUGCGAGCGUUGUCCGGAAUUAUUGGGCGUAAAGAGCUCGUAGGCGGUUUGUUGCGUCGGCUGUGAAAUCCCGAGACUCAACCUCGGGUCUGCAGUCGAUACGAGCAAACUAGAGUGUUGCAGGGGAGACUGGAAUUCCUGGUGUAGCGGUGAAAUGACGCAGAUAUCAGGAGGAACACCGGUGGCGAAGGCGGGUCUCUGGGCAACAACUGACGUGGAGGA
RNAcentral lists this ribosomal RNA (230 nucleotides) under uncultured bacterium. RNAcentral's name for it is "partial 16S ribosomal RNA". It matches the Rfam family "Bacterial small subunit ribosomal RNA", at positions 524 to 752 of the family's 1533-position model. The record is from RNAcentral.